RNAcentral lists this ribosomal RNA (1020 nucleotides) under marine metagenome. RNAcentral's name for it is "bacterial SSU rRNA". It matches the Rfam family "Bacterial small subunit ribosomal RNA", at positions 8 to 1070 of the family's 1533-position model. The record is from RNAcentral.
AGAGUUUGAUCAUGGCUCAGAAUGAACGCUGGCGGCACGCUUAACACAUGCAAGUCGAACGAGAUCUUCGGAUCUAGUGGCAGACGGGUGAGUAACGCGUGGGAACCUGCCCAGUAGUAGAGAAUAACUUGGGGAAACUUAAGCUAAUACUUUAUACGUCCUUCGGGAGAAAGCUUUAUGCGCUAUUGGAUGGGCCCGCGUUAGAUUAGUUUGUUGGUGAGGUAAUGGCUCACCAAGGCGACGAUCUAUAGCUGGUCUGAGAGGAUGAUCAGCCACACUGGGACUGAGACACGGCCCAGACUCCUACGGGAGGCAGCAGUGGGGAAUAUUGGACAAUGGGGGCAACCCUGAUCCAGCGAUGCCGCGUGAGUGAUGAAGGCCCUAGGGUUGUAAAACUCUUUCGUCAGGGAAGAUAAUGACGGUACCUGAAGAAGAAGAUCCGGCUAACUCCGUGCCAGCAGCCGCGGUAAUACGGAGGGGUCUAGCGUUAUUCGGAAUUACUGGGCGUAAAGCGAGCGUAGGCGGAUUUGUAAGUUGGAGGUGAAAUCCCAGAGCUUAACUCUGGAACUGCCUUCAAAACUACAUUUCUUGAGUUUGGUAGAGGAGAGUGGAAUUCCUAGUGUAGAGGUGAAAUUCGUAGAUAUUAGGAGGAACACCAGUGGCGAAGGCGACUCUCUGGGCCAAUACUGACGCUGAGGUUCGAAAGCAUGGGUAGCGAACAGGAUUAGAUACCCUGGUAGUCCAUGCAGUAAACGAUGAGUGCUAGAUGUUGGGAAUUUAAAUUUCCAGUAUCGCAGUUAACGCGUUAAGCACUCCGCCUGGGAAGUACGGCCGCAAGGCUAAAACUCAAAUGAAUUGACGGGGACCCGCACAAGCGGUGGAUCAUGUGGUUUAAUUCGAAGAUACGCGAAGAACCUUACCGGCCCUUGACAUACCAAUCGCGGACUUAAGAGAUUAAGUCUUUCACUUCGGGUGGAUUGGAUACAGGUGCUGCAUGGCUGUCGUCAGCUCGUGUCGUGA